This 493-nucleotide ribosomal RNA is filed under the name uncultured bacterium. RNAcentral describes it as "bacterial SSU rRNA". It matches the Rfam family "Bacterial small subunit ribosomal RNA", at positions 28 to 507 of the family's 1533-position model. The record is from RNAcentral.
AACGAACGUUGGCGGCGUGGAUUAGGCAUGCAAGUCGAACGAGAAAGGGGGGCAACUCCCCGAGUAAAGUGGCGAACUGGUGAGUAUAAGGUGGGUAAUGUGCCUCACAGUGGGGGAUAACACCUGGAAACAGGUGCUAAUACCGCAUGUGGCCGGAGGGGUGCUUCUCCUCCGGUUAAAGGUGCCCGCAAGGGUGCCGCUGAGAGAUCAGCCCGCUCCCGAUUAGCUAGUUGGUGGGGUAACGGCCUACCAAGGCUGUGAUCGGUAGGUGGCCUGAGAGGGUGGUCACCCACACUGGGACUGAGAUACGGCCCAGACUCCUACGGGAGGCAGCAGUCUAGAGGCUUCGGCAAUGGGGGCAACCCUGACCGAGCGACGCCGCGUGCGGGAUUGAAGGCCGUAAGGUUGUAAACCGCUGUCAGCAGGGAAGAAUGCCCGGAUGGUGAAUCCGAGAGCGACGGUACUUGCAGAGGAAGCCCCGGCUAACUCCGUG